GACGAACGCUGGCGGCGCGCCUAACACAUGCAAGUCGAACGAGAGAGAGGAAGCUUGCUUCCUCAAUCGAGUGGCGAACGGGUGAGUAACGCGUGAGGAACCUGCCUCAAAGAGGGGGACAACAGUUGGAAACGACUACUAAUACCGCAUAAGCCCACAGCUCGGCAUCGAGCAGAGGGAAAAGGAGCAAUCCGCUUUGAGAUGGCCUCGCGUCCGAUUAGCUAGUUGGUGAGGUAAUGGCCCACCAAGGCGACGAUCGGUAGCCGGACUGAGAGGUUGAACGGCCACAUUGGGACUGAGACACGGCCCAGACUCCUACGGGAGGCAGCAGUGGGGAAUAUUGCACAAUGGGGGAAACCCUGAUGCAGCGACGCCGCGUGGAGGAAGAAGGUCUUCGGAUUGUAAACUCCUGUUGUUGAGGAAGAUAAUGACGGUAC
RNAcentral lists this ribosomal RNA (437 nucleotides) under uncultured bacterium. RNAcentral's name for it is "bacterial SSU rRNA". It matches the Rfam family "Bacterial small subunit ribosomal RNA", at positions 28 to 478 of the family's 1533-position model. The record is from RNAcentral.